Molecule: ribosomal RNA, 282 nt
Filed under: uncultured bacterium
Lineage: Bacteria
Description: partial 16S ribosomal RNA
Rfam family: Bacterial small subunit ribosomal RNA
Source: RNAcentral
GUGGAUUAGAUACCCUGGUAGUCCACGCCGUAAACGAUGCUAACUCGUUUUUGGUAUUUCGGUAUCAGAGACCAAGCGAAAGUGAUAAGUUAGCCACCUGGGGAGUACGUUCGCAAGAAUGAAACUCAAAGGAAUUGACGGGGGCCCGCACAAGCGGUGGAUUAUGUGGUUUAAUUCGAUGAUACGCGAGGAACCUUACCAAGGCUUAAAUGGGAAAUGACAGAUUUAGAAAUAGAUCCUUCUUCGGACAUUUUUCAAGGUGCUGCAUGGUCGUCGACAACU